This 896-nucleotide ribosomal RNA is filed under the name uncultured archaeon. Its description in RNAcentral is "16S ribosomal RNA". The record is from RNAcentral.
UUCCGGCGUUGACUCCAAUUGAACCGCAGGCUUCACCCCUUGUGGUGCUCCCCCGCCAAUUCCUUUAAGUUUCAUACUUGCGUACGUACUUCCCAGGCGGCAAACUUAACGGCUUCCCUGCGGCACUGCACUGGCCAAAAGCCAGUGCAUCACCGAGUCUGCAUCGUUUACAGCUGGGACUACCCGGGUAUCUAAUCCGGUUUGCUCCCCCAGCUUUCAUCCCUCACCGUCGAACGUGUUCUGGUAGACCGCCUUCGCCACAGGUGGUCAUCAAGAGAUCAAAGGAUUUUACCCCUUCCUCCCGAGUACCGUCUACCUCUCCCACUCCCUAGUUCUGCAGUAUUUCCGGCAGCCCAUUAGUUGAGCUAGUGGAUUUAACCGGAAACUUACAGAACCGGCUACGGAUGCUUUAGGCCCAAUAAUCCUCCUGACCACUUGAGGUGCUGGUUUUACCGCGGCGGCUGACACCAGAACUUGCCCACCCCUUAUUCAUCAGUGGUUUUAGAACUAACAAAAGAUUCCUUUAGCAGGAAACACUCGGAUUAACCUUGUCGUGCUUGCGCACAUUGCAAAGGUUUCUCGCCUGCUGCGCCCCAUAGGGCCUGGGUCCGUGUCUCAGUACCCAUCUCCGGGCUUCUCCUCUCAGAGCCCGUACCUGUAAUAGCCUUGGUGGGCCAUUACCUCACCAACAAGCUGAUAGGCCGCAGUCCCAUCCUAUGGCGACGAAUCAUUUGGACCAUAAACCGUUCCAGGCAUUAUGAUCUAUCGCGGAUUAUUCUCAGUUUCCCGAGGUUAUCCACGUCCAUAGGGCAGAUUGACUACGUGUUACUGAGCCGUAUGCCUUGUAUUGCUACAAUGACUCACAUGGCUUAGUACCAAUCCGAUAGCAGUCAGGU